RNAcentral lists this ribosomal RNA (468 nucleotides) under uncultured bacterium. RNAcentral's name for it is "partial 16S ribosomal RNA". It matches the Rfam family "Bacterial small subunit ribosomal RNA", at positions 28 to 507 of the family's 1533-position model. The record is from RNAcentral.
GACGAACGCUGGCGGCGUGCUUAACACAUGCAAGUCGAACGGAAAGGCCCUGCUUUUGUGGGGUGCUCGAGUGGCGAACGGGUGAGUAACACGUGAGUAACCUGCCCUUGACUUUGGGAUAACUUCAGGAAACUGGGGAUAAUACCGGAUAGGAGCUCCUGCUGCAUGGUGGGGGUUGGAAAGCUUCGGCGGGUGGGGAUGGACUCGCGGCUUAUCAGCUUGUUGGUGGGGUAGUGGCUUACCAAGGCUUUGACGGGUAGCCGGCCUGAGAGGGUGACCGGCCACAUGGGGACUGAGGUACGGCCCAGACUCCUACGGGAGGCAGCAGUGGGGAAUAUUGCACAAUGGGCGGAAGCCUGAGGCAGCAACGCCGCGUUCGGGAUGACGGCCUUCGGGUUGUAAACCGCUUUCGCCUGUGACGAAGCGUGAGUGACGGUAAUGGGUAAAGAAGCACCGGCUAACUACGUG